RNAcentral lists this ribosomal RNA (247 nucleotides) under uncultured bacterium. Its description in RNAcentral is "partial 16S ribosomal RNA". It matches the Rfam family "Bacterial small subunit ribosomal RNA", at positions 523 to 769 of the family's 1533-position model. The record is from RNAcentral.
AUACGUAGGGUGCGAGCGUUAAUCGGAAUUACUGGGCGUAAAGCGUGCGCAGGCGGUUUCGUAAGACAGACGUGAAAUCCCCGGGCUCAACCUGGGAACUGCGUUUGUGACUGCGAGGCUAGAGUACGGCAGAGGGGGGUAGAAUUCCACGUGUAGCAGUGAAAUGCGUAGAGAUGUGGAGGAAUACCGAUGGCGAAGGCAGCCCCCUGGGUUAGUACUGACGCUCAUGCACGAAAGCGUGGGUAGC